Molecule: unclassified non-coding RNA, 355 nt
Filed under: soil metagenome
Description: partial contains 5.8S ribosomal RNA, internal transcribed spacer 2, and large subunit ribosomal RNA
Rfam family: 5.8S ribosomal RNA (bases 1-120)
Source: RNAcentral
GAUGAAGAACGUAGCGAAAUGCGAUAAGUAAUGUGAAUUGCAGAAUUCAGUGAAUCAUCGAAUCUUUGAACGCACAUUGCGCCCAUUAGUAUUCUAGUGGGCAUGCCUGUUCGAGCGUCAUUAAGUCCACUUAAGCCCUGCUUAGUGUUGGGAGACUGCUCCAGCGGUGCUACCCUGUAGCUACCCUGCAGCUCCUCAAAGACAGCGGCGGAGUUGUGGUAUCCUCUGAGCUUAGUAACUUGUUCUAGCUUUCGAGUACACCACUUCCCCUGCCGUAAAACCCUUAAUUUUUAAUGGUUGACCUCGAAUCAGGUAGGACUACCCGCUGAACUUAAGCAUAUCAAUAAGCGGAGGA